RNAcentral lists this ribosomal RNA (395 nucleotides) under uncultured bacterium. RNAcentral's name for it is "bacterial SSU rRNA". It matches the Rfam family "Bacterial small subunit ribosomal RNA", at positions 997 to 1393 of the family's 1533-position model. The record is from RNAcentral.
GCCUAAGAGAUUAGGUGUUCCCUUCGGGGACAGAAUGACAGGUGGUGUAUGGUUGUCGUCAGCUCGUGUCGUGAGAUGUUGGGUUAAGUCCCGCAACGAGCGCAACCCUUAUUGUCAGUUGCCAGCAUUAAGUUGGGCACUCUGGCAAGACUGCCGGUGACAAACCGGAGGAAGGUGGGGAUGACGUCAAAUCAUCAUGCCCCUUAUGACCUGGGCUACACACGUGCUACAAUGGACGAUACAACGAGUCGCUAGACCGCGAGGUUAAGCUAAUCUCUGAAAGUCGUUCUCAGUUCGGAUUGCAGGCUGCAACUCGCCUGCAUGAAGUCGGAAUCGCUAGUAAUCGCGGAUCAGCAUGCCGCGGUGAAUACGUUCCCGGGUCUUGUACACACCGA